UACAGAGGGUGCAAGCGUUGUUCGGAAUUAUUGGGCGUAAAGGGUGCGUAGGCGGUGCGGUAAGUCUCUUGUGAAAUCUCCAGGCUCAACCUGGAGCCUGCAAGGGAAACUGCCGUGCUUGAGUGUGGGAGAGGUGAGUGGAAUUCCCGGUGUAGCGGUGAAAUGCGUAGAGAUCGGGAGGAACACCUGUGGCGAAGGCGGCCCCCUGGGCCGGCCCUGACACUGAGACGCGAAGGCGUGGGGAGCGAACGGG
This 253-nucleotide ribosomal RNA is filed under the name uncultured bacterium. RNAcentral's name for it is "partial 16S ribosomal RNA". It matches the Rfam family "Bacterial small subunit ribosomal RNA", at positions 524 to 776 of the family's 1533-position model. The record is from RNAcentral.